This 60-nucleotide transfer RNA is filed under the name Lyonsia norwegica. Its description in RNAcentral is "tRNA-Ser". Lineage: Eukaryota; Metazoa; Mollusca; Bivalvia; Lyonsiidae. The record is from RNAcentral.
GACCGUAGUAAUGCCCGAUUUGAAGUCGGGCAACGGGCUGCGCCGUCAGUCCCAUGGUUU